AUUGAACGCUGGCGGCAUGCCUUACACAUGCAAGUCGAACGGCAGCACGGGUGCUUGCACCUGGUGGCGAGUGGCGAACGGGUGAGUAAUACAUCGGAACAUGUCCUGUAGUGGGGGAUAGCCCGGCGAAAGCCGGAUUAAUACCGCAUACGAUCUACGGAUGACAGCGGGGGACCUUCGAGCCUCGCGCUAUAGGGUUGGCCGAUGGCUGAUUAGCUAGUUGGUGGGGUAAAGGCCUACCAAGGCGACGAUCAGUAGCUGGUCUGAGAGGGCGACCAGCCACACUGGGACUGAGACACGGCCCAGACUCCUACGGGAGGCAGCAGUGGGGAAUUUUGGACAAUGGGCGAAAGCCUGAUCCAGCAAUGCCGCGUGUGUGAAGAAGGCCUUCGGGUUGUAAAGCACUUUUGUCCGGAAAGAAAUACUUGGCCCUAAUACGGUCGGGGGAUGACGGUACCGGAAGAAUAAGCACCGGCUAACUACGUG
This 486-nucleotide ribosomal RNA is filed under the name uncultured bacterium. RNAcentral's name for it is "partial 16S ribosomal RNA". It matches the Rfam family "Bacterial small subunit ribosomal RNA", at positions 30 to 507 of the family's 1533-position model. The record is from RNAcentral.